GUGUGUGUGGGGUGUGUGUGCGGUGUGAGGGGCUCUCCUGGGGGCACUGAUGGCAGUGCUGAGCCAGGAGUGCAUCUGAGGCGUGUUGGGCGCCUCGGGGGCCCCUCUGCAACACCGCCCGUGAUUAAAGCCCCAGAAAAGCUCCCCAGGAGAGCCCCGGGCAGCCCAGAGCUCUCCCAGGGUCACCUGUGACCCUGUGAUCUGA
Molecule: non-coding RNA, 205 nt
Organism: Hirundo rustica (Barn swallow)
Lineage: Eukaryota; Metazoa; Chordata; Aves; Passeriformes; Hirundinidae
Product: small Cajal body-specific RNA 7
Exons: 1
Source: RefSeq, a predicted model, not a curated record